Molecule: ribosomal RNA, 243 nt
Filed under: uncultured bacterium
Lineage: Bacteria
Description: partial 16S ribosomal RNA
Rfam family: Bacterial small subunit ribosomal RNA
Source: RNAcentral
AGGGAAUCUUCGGCAAUGGGGGCAACCCUGACCGAGCAACGCCGCGUGAGUGAAGAAGGUUUUCGGAUCGUAAAGCUCUGUUGUAAGUCAAGAACGGGUGUGAGAGUGGAAAGUUCACACUGUGACGGUAGCUUACCAGAAAGGGACGGCUAACUACGUGCCAGCAGCCGCGGUAAUACGUAGGUCCCGAGCGUUGUCCGGAUUUAUUGAGCGUAAAGCGGGCGCAGGCGGUUUGAUAAGUCU